This 390-nucleotide long non-coding RNA is filed under the name Salmo trutta (river trout). RNAcentral describes it as "lncRNA (ENSSTUG00000023259.1)". Lineage: Eukaryota; Metazoa; Chordata; Actinopteri; Salmoniformes; Salmonidae. The record is from RNAcentral.
UUACCGUCAAGUCAUGCUUGCAAGCAUCUGAAGUGAGAGUUGACUCGAUUACAUGACACCUAAACAGAGAUAAUCUGCUCGCAAUCAGUUGAUGAAGGACUGACCUGUACAUUUGACAUUAAGCCUUCAUUGGUAAACUACAGAUUGAUGCAACCUUUUGCAUUUAUUCACAUGAUCAUUUAACCCUAAACUGCCACUGGUCCAUGACUAACUUCCAGUGCCCCCGGUCCAAACUGGCUGUUUCUCUGUGCUCUCUGUCUGCCUUAUUUGUGAAUUAACGUCCUACUUUCCUCCCUGUAAGUACCCAUAAUGUCUUCAUCUAAAGCUGUUACAUCAUCAGUAGUCAUCAGGGAAGCCCUAUGGUUGAUACAGUAUGUUUGAGCUCAAUUA